GGCAGCCAUCUUUAUGAUCUGGUUACGAUUACGUUUACUUUACUAGCUUGUUGAAAUGCAUCGAGUUGUUUUGAUUAAUUCUAACUAAUUAUUAAACUUUUUUUAUAAUUGUGUGAUUCAACUAGUUGCGCUAGUCAUGAUACGGUAUACUUAGUUUGGAAAUACUCUAAGUAAUCUUUGCCUUAAGUCUGACAAGUUUCAAUCUUACUUAAUUCCAUGAUGAUCAACAAAACGUCAAAUUCGACCGAUGCCAGCGAUGAAGAACCAGGGAAAUUAUUCGUCGGAGGCCUUAGCUGGGAAACAACCGAAGAAAAACUACAGCAGUAUUUUGGCGAAUUUGGCGAAGUAAUCGAUUCGGUUGUUAUGAAAAACACAGAGAGUGGUCAAAGUCGAGGAUUCGGUUUCGUUACUUUCGGUGAUCCAAAUUCAGUCGAGAAAGUUUUAGCUAAAGGAACCCAUUUACUAGAUGGACGAGCUAUUGAUCCGAAACCGUGUAGUACAAAAGCAGCGAUUAAAUCGAAGAAAAAUUCGCAAUAUCCGAAAAUAUUCCUGGGAGGAUUACCCUUCAACGUAACAGAGACCGAUCUGAGAUCGAUAUUUUCAAAAUAUGGUGAAGUGAUGGACGUAAUAAUAAUGUAUGAUCAUGAGAAAAACAAAUGCAGAGGAUUCGGAUUUUUAUCAUUUGAGAAAGACGAAGAUGUAAACAAAUGCGUAGCCGACCAUUAUAUCUACGUAAAUGGCAAGAAGGUCGAGGUUAAGAGAGCCGAACCGAGAGAUGGUCGAGGAAGUGCUUCUGCCGCCACACAAUGGCCUAAUGCCCAAACUACUCCAGCUGUAGAUCCGUCUAGAAACAUGCCAAUGCAGAAUUAUCAAGGAUGGGGUGCUGCUCCUGCUCCUGGAUAUGGAUAUGGUGCCCCACCCGGAGCCCCUGUUCCAUACGGAGGAUGGGGUGGACCGCCCCCAACCCCUCAAUGGGGACCAGGCUACCCAACUCCUGGAUAUACACCUUAUGGCACCCCUCAAACGCCGUACGCCAACUGGAACUGGAACGUACCGCCGCAGCCUCCGGCUACCGGACCUCCACCUCCGGCCAAUCCGCCAGCCAACGGCGCACCUCCCAUACCAACUCAGCCGGCUGUAGCAACUACCGACUUUGUCACAGAUCCGUACGGGCGAGCCGCGAUGCCACCAGCUCCUCCUCCGCCAGCUCCUCAGACGGCUUCCAAACAAGAAUACAGCAGCUAUGCCUCUUACUCGGGUUAUACUCCGUACGAAUAUGUGAUUUUAGGAUCCGGCCGCCGCGUAUAGUGCUCCUGGAACAACCGCCGCGCCUAGGACGACAUAUGGAAUCGAGACUACGGCUGCUGCUCCAGGAGAGCCCUAUGGAAGCGCUCCCGGCCCUCAGAGGAAUAACCAGAGCCAGCAGUCAUACCAUCCGUAUAGAAGAGUGUAAUUCGAGAAUGCCGCCAUUUUUUUUUUUUUUUUUUGAAAGUACUUAAAAAAAACAAAUUGAAAAUUUAUAAAACAUGGUUAUCGUAUAUUCUAUAAUAAUUUUUUUUUAUAAUGUUUACGUUUUUGUUUUUUGUGUUUCUCUAUAAUAUCUAUAAUAUUUCCUCUCUCUUUCUCUGUCUCUGUAUCUAUCUCCUGGACCGUGUAUUUUUCAUUUUUUUUCUCCUUCUCUCCUCCUCCUCGAGUAUUCUCACCUUUUUAACGAUAUCGCUUGCUUGAUUGUUGUUUAUGUGUGUUUGUGUGACUUGUGUAAGUAAAGUACUACUACAGGAUGAAAAAGAAACGCUGUUCGUGAAAAAAAAAAAAAAAGACGUUUGUAAUGUUAAAUAAUUUUACAGUUUAUACAUAGGUUUAAUGUACUACAUUAUGUAUUGUAUUGUAACGUUUUAGAUACCUAUAUUUUUUCUUUCGCCAAUAAAACCGGACAUUUUUAUCUACGUAGUUUGGUAUUUCGAAGAAAUAAGACUGAGUAUAGCGCGGUUUUUUUUCAAAUUUUUAAUUCUUUUCGUACGGUGUACGAGACGAGACGAUAACGAUAGGAUUAGUAGGACCUGUGUUCUAGCUGUUGUACUUGUUAAUCGAUAAUAUAGGUACGUUUUUUUUUUAGCAAUCGGUAAAGAUAAGAACAAUUUUUGUAAAUAGUUACCAAUUUUUAAACUUUACCGAUAAAAUGGAGGGAAGCAUGAAUUUUUCGACGAGAAACCGAAACCGAAACGCCGAACGCGUCGUAGAAUGUUUUUUUUUUUUAAAUCUCCAUUGUGUGUGUGUAAUCGUAUAUUUUACUAUUUUUUAGAGUGAUCAUUCUUCUUCUUCUACGUUGAUUUGAACCACCGACAUUAUUAAUAUUUAAACUACUCGUACCAACUCCGAGACGAGUGGUUGAUUAUUAAUUGUAUUAUACAUAAUAAUACGUAUAUACUGAAUGUUCUGCGUUGAACGACGAAUAAACAUAUACGUUUGUUGA
This is an RNA transcript of Planococcus citri (citrus mealybug), 2473 nucleotides long. It is a transcript of the gene named heterogeneous nuclear ribonucleoprotein 27C-like, with no coding region annotated. Lineage: Eukaryota; Metazoa; Arthropoda; Insecta; Hemiptera; Pseudococcidae. The transcript is spliced from 12 exons. The record is from RefSeq and is a predicted model, not a curated record.